UGAGGAAUUUUCGGCAAUGGGGGCAACCCUGACCGAGCAACGCCGCGUGCAGGAAGACGGCCUUCGGGUUGUAAACUGCUUUUCUGUGGGACGAGCAAGGACGGUACCACAGGAAGAAGCCCCGGCUAACUACGUGCCAGCAGCCGCGGUAAUACGUAGGGGGCGAGCGUUGUCCGGAGUUACUGGGCGUAAAGCGCAUGCAGGCGGUCGGGUAAGUUUGCACUGACAGUCAUCGGCUUAACUGAUGAAGGCGUGCGAAAACUGUCCGACUUGAGGGCUCUAGAGGGGUGCGGAAUUCCGAGUGGAGCGGUGAAAUGCGUAGAGAUUCGGAGGAACACCAAAGGCGAAGGCAGCGCCCUGGAGAGUACCUGACGCUCAGAUGCGAAAGCUAGGGGAGCGAA
This 401-nucleotide ribosomal RNA is filed under the name uncultured bacterium. RNAcentral describes it as "bacterial SSU rRNA". It matches the Rfam family "Bacterial small subunit ribosomal RNA", at positions 355 to 772 of the family's 1533-position model. The record is from RNAcentral.